RNAcentral lists this ribosomal RNA (497 nucleotides) under uncultured bacterium. RNAcentral's name for it is "partial 16S ribosomal RNA". It matches the Rfam family "Bacterial small subunit ribosomal RNA", at positions 28 to 507 of the family's 1533-position model. The record is from RNAcentral.
GAUGAACGCUGGCGGCGUGCCUAAUACAUGCAAGUCGAGCGAACAGACGAGGAGCUUGCUCCUCUGACGUUAGCGGCGGACGGGUGAGUAACACGUGGAUAAUCUACCUAUAAGACUGGGAUAACUUCGGGAAACCGGAGCUAAUACCGGAUAAUAUAUUGAACCGCAUGGUUCAAUAGUGAAAGACGGUAUUGCUGUCACUUAUAGAUGGAUCCGCGCCGCAUUAGCUAGUUGGUAAGGUAACGGCUUACCAAGGCAACGAUGCGUAGCCGACCUGAGAGGGUGAUCGGCCACACUGGAACUGAGACACGGUCCAGACUCCUACGGGAGGCAGCAGUAGGGAAUCUUCCGCAAUGGGCGAAAGCCUGACGGAGCAACGCCGCGUGAGUGAUGAAGGUCUUCGGAUCGUAAAACUCUGUUAUUAGGGAAGAACAAAUGUGUAAGUAACUAUGCACGUCUUGACGGUACCUAAUCAGAAAGCCACGGCUAACUACGUG